Long non-coding RNA from Peromyscus leucopus (white-footed mouse), 3202 nucleotides. RefSeq lists it as uncharacterized. The transcript has 3 exons. NCBI's taxonomy places the organism in Eukaryota, Metazoa, Chordata, Mammalia, Rodentia, Cricetidae. The record is from RefSeq and is a predicted model, not a curated record.
CUCCCACGUGGUGCAGGCCAGCAUCCGUUCCCCCGCACUCCGCAGGCCACGGCUGCGUGCGACACCUGCUAUCAGCCCUCUGACCGAGCGCAGUACCUCCUGCGCUACCCUGGGAUCUCCAGCAUCCGCACCUCUGAAGCGAUCUGACCCUGGCACCGUCUCCAGAGCACAAGCUUCAUGGAGGUCCUCAGAAAAUGCAAAAGCCCUAAAAGGUAUGGAUGGAACAUAUCAUCACAUUCCUCUGGGGAGGCGCUAGAAGGGCUUCUCCGAAGAAGGGGUACCUGAAGAUUGAUCAGCAAGGGUUGGGAGAUCUCAGGAUAGAGAGUAUCGGGAGACAAGGCCUGAAGCCAGGAGAGAAAGACUGGCAAGUCGUGAGUCCUCUGAGGCUGGAGAGUGACAGGAAGGGAGAGGAAGAGAGGGCCUGGGCUUACUGUUCUACCCCAAGAGCAAUGGAAAAUGCUGAACAGCUCUGAAAGGGUCGUCUUGGUGGCACCGUGGAAAGGAAUCUGUUGGCAUAUGGCAGGACCUGGAGGAACAAGUUGUCCCCACAAAGACAGGUGCCAAAUCUUGUUUGCUGGGUGGGGAAGCCACCACACUGCUCCCAAGGGACACAUGUGGAAGCUGCUUCUAAAGACCUGUAAACAGAGAGGGAGCUGCUUGAGAGUCCGUGACACCCCUGGAAUCCCAUGAUGGCCGACCUGAAGGUUUCUCUAUGAAUCCAGUGAGUCCUCAGCUGAGUGCUCUCUGGAACCAGGAUACCUGUGUCACGUGGAUGGUGUCAGAAGGACACUCUGUCCUCCAGUGGCCUGACAAGCCAACAAGAUGAUUUGCACUCAGCCAGCGCCACACCCCCCAUCAGCAGGGGCAGCCUUGAUGGUGGCUAAGAAAAGAUUUAGAGCUCAUGUAAGAUUGCUCUAGCACUUCGCUGCUGGUGACCUCUCCGCACCCCAGCUUCCUGCACUUUAUAAGAUGUGGUAGUCAUCACCCCACCUCAUAAAGUCUUCAUGAGAAUUCAACGGUUUCAUGCUUUAAAAUGUACCUAGGAUGGAGGAGAGCGAUUCUGUGAAGGACCCUGGCUCUCUGCUCUCUCCGUUCCCAGGACAUCCUAUUCAUGGGCUCCCUGGAAUGUUGGCGGUCUUGUUCUUGGAUACAGGAACAGCACUACUGUAAAAGCCUGCUUACUACUGAGUUGAGCACCCAGCUCCUAGUGGUCUCUGGAUAAAUAUUGGACAAACGAAUCAGUGAUUGACACUCAGCCAGUCAACAGGCUCUUCCUGGAAAGGGGAAUCCUGGGGAAGCACCCUCCUGUUAAUUCCCAAUGGCCUUCCAAAGCUGGAGGCUCAUUUCCCAUACUGGUUCAUCCUGGCCUUGGCUGUGGCUGGGAGUCUGCAGGGUCUUAGAGCAAGGUUCCUGGGAGAACAGGGCAGUAUGUGAGGUGCAAGGGCUUCAAAGACCAGGAGGUGGAGGGAGGGCAGCUUCCGGAGGACACAGGCUUCCAGAGGUCAGGACAGAAGCCGCUUCGCAGUGGUCUCCAAGUGCGGCUUGGAAAGGGGAGGCCAGUUCCUUUUGUUGGAGUCCUGGGAAGGAACCAAGGGUUGGGAUUCUGGGUGGAGUGUUAGGCAAACACUCUACCACUGAACUGUGUUCCCAGCCCACAAGUUCGUUCGUUCUUCAUUCAUUCAUUCAUUCAUUCAUUCAUUCAUUCAUUCAUUCAUCCAACAAACACAUACUGAGGUUCUAAGCUGGUCAACAAUGCAUCAGACAUAGACUUUGCCCUGAAAGACCCCAGUCUGGGGGCAGGGUCAGAUAAGAGAGGCAGACAGAUAAUUACCAGGACCAGGCAGGCGAAGGCUGAGUCUGAAUCACAGGUAAGGGUGUGAAGAGAUCCCAACCAUGACUUCCUGAUAGAGGAGAGGUGGGGCUCUGAGUCAAGAGGCUUAUGGGAAGGGUAAUGCCUGAAUGGAGAGUGGAAGAUUAAAAGGCACUUGGUUGUGGUGGGGAGAUGGGAGAACAUUCUAGAAAGAGGAGAACAGGGUGAAGACCCACAGACAGGGAAGUGUGUGUGUGUGUGUGUGUGUGUGUGUGUGUGUGUGUGUGUGUGGAAUUGGGCAGAUGAUAUGUUAUCAUGGCGUGGGCUACAGGCAUGACGGAUGCUGAGGAAGUUAAGGAUUCUAGGUAGGGCUGUGAUUUAACUCAGUGGCAAGCAUUUACUUAGCAUGUGCAAGGCCAUGAGUUCAAUCCUCAAUAGACUAAAUGGAGGCCGUACGCUCUUUUUGACUUGUUUUGUGUUGAGGCACAGUCUUCAUUGGCUCUCCCCAGGAAUCCACUGGUCCUGAGGACCUCUGUGAGCUCAAUGACAUCUUUGCCCUUUUUCAGGCUGUUUCCGCAGCCUCCUGGGCUUCUUCUCCCAGUAACGGAUGGAUUUGGGAAUUGGAAUUCUUCCAUUGCCCAUGGCCCGGUACUGCCAGCCAGCCUCAUAAGCCACAUGCCCAGAUGAACAAACUUUCUGGUUAGGCUUCAGCUGCACAACUUUGAGGCCAGCAGGAACCACGAGCCACUGUUUUUUGUCACUUAGAGGGAUCCCAUCUAAGAUCUAGAGGCGUUCCAGGGCGGGCUAGCCUUGCUUGGUCUUGUAGGGCAACAUGCCUCACACUGUUUGCCAGAAAAAUACAGGGCCCGGAAGUGGUAGGAUCCCCCGAGGAGGGUUGGUGUUCAUCUGCUGUGGAGAAAGGCCGGGUACUUUGUUUUGUUGAUAUACUCAUAUGCAUGACGACCACCUUCUGACCACAACGGCCACCAGGCAGCCCAGAAGAUAGCGUGGGCCAUCCAGCACUAGAACCUGCCCUCCGCCAUCUUUGUUAACGGGGCUUGCGGCUUUAUAUAAUGCUAAGUCAGGAAACUACAGCCACCUCUGCCUCUUCCAACAGCGGAUGCAACGCUCCAUCUAGCUUCCACACAGAGGAUGCUAUAAGCUUCUUGGGCAAUCCUCCUAAGACUGGUUCUACUUCAGGCAGAGCUGAAUCCAGGUACCCAUGUGGACACCAGUGAGUGUCCCCUGGGCCAGUGGAAAGAAGAUUGCUCCCAAGCCUAACAACCCAAUUGUGAUCCCGAGAAUCCACACGACAGGAGGAGAGAAUUGACUCCGACAAGUUGUCCUCUGACCUCCACAUGAGCACCAUGGCAUGACAUGUGCACACCCAUG